RNAcentral lists this ribosomal RNA (254 nucleotides) under uncultured prokaryote. Its description in RNAcentral is "partial 16S ribosomal RNA". It matches the Rfam family "Bacterial small subunit ribosomal RNA", at positions 524 to 777 of the family's 1533-position model. The record is from RNAcentral.
UACGUGGGUGGCAAGCGUUGUCUGGAUUUAUUGGGCGUAAAGCGAGCGCAGGCGGUUCCUUAAGUCUGAUGUGAAAGCCCACGGCUCAACCGUGGAAGGUCAUUGGAAACUGGGGAACUUGAGUGCAGAAGAGGAGAGUGGAAUUCCAUGUGUAGCGGUGAAAUGCGUAGAUAUAUGGAGGAACACCAGUGGCGAAGGCGACUCUCUGGUCUGUAACUGACGCUGAGGCUCGAAAGCGUGGGGAGCAAACAGGA